Molecule: long non-coding RNA, 555 nt
Organism: Populus trichocarpa (black cottonwood)
Lineage: Eukaryota; Viridiplantae; Streptophyta; Magnoliopsida; Malpighiales; Salicaceae
Exons: 4
Source: RefSeq, a predicted model, not a curated record
GCCUCUUCAGUUCAUUUUUUCUUCUCCUCAGUUUUUCACCGAUUCUUUUCCUCUCCAUUCUUCAAAGCUUUCAUCUGCAAUCUCUAGCAAGUUUUCUUGUGAAUCUUCAUCAGUUUAAAAGAUGCGUAGAACAAAAACCAGAGCUGGUCGCUCACGUAUGGUAACAACUAGUUCGUCUAGCAGCGAGAAUGAUAUUUCCUUAGGUGCCUCUCAAGAAAAGACAUCUACACCACCUGCACCGUCAACCGAUGCUGCCUCUUCCAGCGCUACUUCACAGCGCAGAGGCGGCGUGCCUUCGCAGCGGAAUCAAUUUACCCGCAAGUACGAGGCAUAGUGGAAGGACGACCUUUCAAUGUUCACAAACAUUGAAGCCGCCCGAGUAAUAUCAUCGGCGUUUAAAUCGUCGAUGGAGAUUCCAUUGUUUCAAUGGAGUCAGAUAUCCAAGCAUCCUGAAUGGAUGCCUCAAAUCAAUGCAUGGUUUGACAGGUUUGAGAACAAAUUCUGCUGGGACAGUGAGCAUAACACUGUUACGAGGAGGGUGUGGGAAAAUCACGC